UGCCAGCCGCCGCGGUAAUACGGGGGAUGCAAGCGUUAUCCGGAAUCAUUGGGCGUAAAGCGUGCGUAGGCGGUUUAUUAAGUCAGAUGUGAAAGCCCCGGGCUUAACCUGGGAACUGCAUUUGAAACUGGUAAACUAGAGUAUGGUAGAGGAAAGUGGAAUUUCUGGUGUAGCGGUGAAAUGCGUAGAGAUCAGAAGGAAUACCGAUUGCGAAGGCGAUCUACUGGAACAUUAUUGAUGCUGAGAUGCGAAAGCGUGGGGAGCAAACAGGAUUAGAUA
RNAcentral lists this ribosomal RNA (279 nucleotides) under uncultured bacterium. Its description in RNAcentral is "partial 16S ribosomal RNA". It matches the Rfam family "Bacterial small subunit ribosomal RNA", at positions 506 to 784 of the family's 1533-position model. The record is from RNAcentral.